Labrus mixtus (cuckoo wrasse) is the source of this 427-nucleotide long non-coding RNA. RefSeq lists it as uncharacterized. The transcript has 2 exons. Lineage: Eukaryota; Metazoa; Chordata; Actinopteri; Labriformes; Labridae. The record is from RefSeq and is a predicted model, not a curated record.
GCCAAAGGGCCAAACUUCAGUCUGAAUCCUCUGCUUCUCCCUCUUCUGUUUGUCCUCUUAGUUAGAUCACAGACCGCAUGUGUGUUUAUCAUCUUGUUUUGUUAAUGUUUACUUCCUUGUAGUUUUAUGAUUUACUGAAGACAUUUUAUAGCAUUAAAGCACCAGCUUAAGUUAGACAAGUGUUGUUGUAAAGCUAUAUCUGUAUUAAGCCUUAAUUGGUUGAAACAAAGUUCUCAGCUUUAGAGUGGGGUGGAUAUGCACUAAUUGUGGACUGGGAUGAUAGCCACUUAAUGUGAAAGAGCUGCUAAUGCACUGCUUACAGUGCAUUAGCCAACAAAUUAACCAUUUAUCCAUUGGACUGUAUUUAUUUCAAGUUUCUUGUUUCUGGUAAUGUUCUGUUUGAGUCGUGAAUAAAGAAAAUAAUUUU